This 241-nucleotide long non-coding RNA is filed under the name Capsicum annuum. RNAcentral describes it as "long non-coding RNA (CANN_LNC009977)". Lineage: Eukaryota; Viridiplantae; Streptophyta; Magnoliopsida; Solanales; Solanaceae. The record is from RNAcentral.
AUAUGACUUUCCAUGGGCUUUCAUGGUAAAGAUUUCUUUUAUUAUGACAUAAUUUAUUUUUUUAUUCAAUAAUGCUUUUAAUUUAUUGGCAUUAUUUUAUAGGUUUGGGCAUUUGAAACCAUUCCUUAUUUGAGACAACAAGUGAACUACCAGGAAGAAGUUUCCUGUCCAAGAAUCCUGAGAUGGUUGUAGGCCAAAACUGAUAAAAAUAUAAAAUUUCUUGAUCUCUUCUACCCCCGAA